AACGAACGCUGGCGGCAUGCCUAACACAUGCAAGUCGAACGAGACCUUCGGGUCUAGUGGCGCACGGGUGCGUAACGCGUGGGAACCUGCCCUUAGGUUCGGAAUAACUCCCCGAAAGGGGUGCUAAUACCGGAUAAUGUCUUCGGACCAAAGAUUUAUCGCCUUUGGAUGGGCCCGCGUUGGAUUAGCUAGUUGGUAGGGUAAAAGCCUACCAAGGCGACGAUCCAUAGCUGGUCUGAGAGGAUGAUCAGCCACACUGGGACUGAGACACGGCCCAGACUCCUACGGGAGGCAGCAGUGGAGAAUAUUGGACGAUGGGCGAAAGCCUGAUCCAGCAAUGCCGCGUGAGUGAUGAAGGGCUUAGGGUUGUAAAGCUCUUUUACCCGGGAUGAUAAUGACAGUACCGGGAGAAUAAGCUCCGGCUAACUCCGUG
Molecule: ribosomal RNA, 433 nt
Filed under: uncultured bacterium
Lineage: Bacteria
Description: partial 16S ribosomal RNA
Rfam family: Bacterial small subunit ribosomal RNA
Source: RNAcentral